This 402-nucleotide ribosomal RNA is filed under the name uncultured Sphingopyxis sp. Its description in RNAcentral is "bacterial SSU rRNA". It matches the Rfam family "Bacterial small subunit ribosomal RNA", at positions 355 to 774 of the family's 1533-position model. The record is from RNAcentral. Lineage: Bacteria; Pseudomonadati; Pseudomonadota; Alphaproteobacteria; Sphingomonadales; Sphingopyxidaceae.
UGGGGAAUAUUGGACAAUGGGCGAAAGCCUGAUCCAGCAAUGCCGCGUGAGUGAUGAAGGCCUUAGGGUUGUAAAGCUCUUUUACCCGGGAUGAUAAUGACAGUACCGGGAGAAUAAGCUCCGGCUAACUCCGUGCCAGCAGCCGCGGUAAUACGGAGGGAGCUAGCGUUGUUCGGAAUUACUGGGCGUAAAGCGCGCGUAGGCGGUUUUUUAAGUCAGAGGUGAAAGCCCGGGGCUCAACCCCGGAAUUGCCUUUGAAACUGGAAAACUUGAAUCUUGGAGAGGUCAGUGGAAUUCCGAGUGUAGAGGUGAAAUUCGUAGAUAUUCGGAAGAACACCAGUGGCGAAGGCGACUGACUGGACAAGUAUUGACGCUGAGGUGCGAAAGCGUGGGGAGCAAACA